Molecule: small RNA, 141 nt
Organism: Salmonella enterica subsp. enterica serovar Typhimurium
Lineage: Bacteria; Pseudomonadati; Pseudomonadota; Gammaproteobacteria; Enterobacterales; Enterobacteriaceae
Rfam family: sraL Hfq binding RNA
About the family: The SraL RNA ('sra' for small RNA), discovered in E. coli, and later in Salmonella Tiphimurium. It is expressed only in stationary phase. The major stationary phase regulator RpoS is transcriptionally regulating SraL and directly binds to the sraL gene promoter.
Source: Rfam
AUCAACACAAACCGGAACCUCCACCACGUGCUCGAUAUGAGGGGUGUUGACGUCGGGGGAAACCCUCCUGUAAUCAGCGGGAUAGAGCGAAAGACAAAGACCGGAAACAAACUAAAGCGCCCUUAGCGGCGCUUUAGUUUU